AUGGACGAAAGUCUGACCGAGCAACGCCGCGUGAGUGAAGAAGGUUUUCGGAUCGUAAAGCUCUGUUGUAAGUCAAGAACGUGUGUGAGAGUGGAAAGUUCACACAGUGACGGUAGCUUACCAGAAAGGGACGGCUAACUACGUGCCAGCAGCCGCGGUAAUACGUAGGUCCCGAGCGUUGUCCGGAUUUAUUGGGCGUAAAGGGAGCGCAGGCGGUCAGGAAAGUCUGGAGUAAAAGGCUAUGGCUCAACCAUAGUGUGCUCUGGAAACUGUCUGACUUGAGUGCAGAAGGGGAGAGUGGAAUUCCAUGUGUAGCGGUGAAAUGCGUAGAUAUAUGGAGGAACACCAGUGGCGAAAGCGGCUCUCUGGUCUGUCACUGACGCUGAGGCUCGAAAGCGUGGGUAGCGAACAGGAUUAGAUACCCUGGUAGUCCACGCCGUAAACGAUGAGUGCUAGGUGUUAGGCCCUUUCCGGGGCUUAGUGCCGGAGCUAACGCAAUAAGCACUCCGCCUGGGGAGUACGACCGCAAGGUUGAAACUCAAAGGAAUUGACGGGGGCCCGCACAAGCGGUGGAGCAUGUGGUUUAAUUCGAAGCAACGCGAAGAACCUUACCAGGUCUUGACAUCCCGAUGCUAUUCUUAGAGAUAGGAAGUUACUUCGGUACAUCGGAGACAGGUGGUGCAUGGUUGUCGUCAGCUCGUGUCGUGAGAUGUUGGG
Molecule: ribosomal RNA, 717 nt
Filed under: Streptococcus mutans
Lineage: Bacteria; Bacillati; Bacillota; Bacilli; Lactobacillales; Streptococcaceae
Description: bacterial SSU rRNA
Rfam family: Bacterial small subunit ribosomal RNA
Source: RNAcentral